RNAcentral lists this ribosomal RNA (355 nucleotides) under uncultured Pseudomonas sp. RNAcentral describes it as "bacterial SSU rRNA". It matches the Rfam family "Bacterial small subunit ribosomal RNA", at positions 1032 to 1382 of the family's 1533-position model. The record is from RNAcentral. Lineage: Bacteria; Pseudomonadati; Pseudomonadota; Gammaproteobacteria; Pseudomonadales; Pseudomonadaceae.
CACGAGGUGCUGCAGUGGCUGUCGUCAGCUCGUGUCGUGAGAUUGGUUAGGGUUAACGUCCCGUAACGAGCGCAACCUUGUCCUUAGUUACCAGCACGUUAUGGUGGGCACUCUAAGGAGACUGCCGGUGACAAACCGGAGGAAGGUGGGGAUGACGUCAAGUCAUCAUGGCCCUUACGGCCUGGGCUACACACGUGCUACAAUGGUCGGUACAAAGGGUUGCCAAGCCGCGAGGUGGAGCUAAUCCCAUAAAACCGAUCGUAGUCCGGAUCGCAGUCUGCAACUCGACUGCGUGAAGUCGGAAUCGCUAGUAAUCGUGAAUCAGAAUGUCACGGUGAAUACGUUCCCGGGCCUU